RNAcentral lists this ribosomal RNA (440 nucleotides) under uncultured bacterium. Its description in RNAcentral is "partial 16S ribosomal RNA". It matches the Rfam family "Bacterial small subunit ribosomal RNA", at positions 338 to 795 of the family's 1533-position model. The record is from RNAcentral.
CCUACGUGCGGCAGCAGUGGGGAAUAUUGCACAAUGGGGGAAACCCUGAUGCAGCGACGCCGCGUGAGUGAAGAAGUAUUUCGGUACGUAAAGCUCUAUCAGCAGGGAAGAAACUGACGGUACCUGACUAAGAAGCCCCGUCUAACUACGUGCCAGCAGCCGCGGUAAUACGUAGGGGGCAAGCGUUCUCCGGAGUUACGGGGUGAAACGGGAGCGUAGGCGGCAGCUCAAGUCUGGAGUGAAAUCCCAUGGCUUAAACAUGGAACGGCUUUGGAAACUGUGCAGCUAGAGUGCAGGAGAGGGAAGCAGAAUUCCUAGUGUAGCGGUGAAAUGCGUAGAUAUUAGGAGGAACACCAGUGGCGAAGGCGGCUUACUGGACUGUAACUGACGUUGAGGCUCGAAAGCGUGGGGAGCAAACAGGAUUAGAUACCCCAGUAGUC